Molecule: long non-coding RNA, 488 nt
Organism: Spinacia oleracea (spinach)
Lineage: Eukaryota; Viridiplantae; Streptophyta; Magnoliopsida; Caryophyllales; Amaranthaceae
Exons: 4
Source: RefSeq, a predicted model, not a curated record
UUCAGCAUACCUAAGUAAAAAUAAAACAGACCCAAAUUUCUUCAUCGUAAACUAAACAGACCUUGGACAUUCUCUCUCCUCUCUCACAAAUUCUUUGUCCUCUUCUUCAUCUCUUUGGCAUCCAUGGCUAUGGAGACUUGAUCCCACUAAGUAAGGAUUCACAUAAUUACGAGUAAUAACAGUUCAUCUCCCCCAAAGCGCCAUACACUCAAGUUCUCAACUCACAUUAUGUCUAUCUUUCGGCGAAUCGAUGUCAAUGCGGACGAGAUCUACGACGUUUCUUAGGUUAGAGUGAGUAUAGGAGGUGACAUAGGUUAGCGGCGAGGUUAGGGGCGCGGUUGGAGUUAAUGUCUCUGUGUGUAUGGAGGCUGAUUUUCUAAUCCCACCAUCCGGUCUAGAAAAAAAUUCAGCAUAAGAUUUUGGCAAAUGUUGAACCAGUUGAAGUUGCAAAAAAUAUCUCUGGAUUGAACCCUGAGAUUACGCUAGGC